This is a long non-coding RNA of Sycon ciliatum, 758 nucleotides long. RefSeq lists it as uncharacterized. NCBI's taxonomy places the organism in Eukaryota, Metazoa, Porifera, Calcarea, Leucosolenida, Sycettidae. The record is from RefSeq and is a predicted model, not a curated record. The transcript is spliced from 2 exons.
GCAGUUGCACAGUUCAUGUACAUCAUCCGGAAAAGAAUUAUGCUGCCUCCGGAGAAGUCCAUGUUCUUAUUUGUGAACAAGAUUCUACCAACGACAAGCGCCAAUAUGGGCUCCAUCUACGACGAGCACAAGGACGCAGAUGGAUUUCUAUAUAUCGCGUACAGUGGUGAGAACACGUUCGGAGAAGAAGAGACGUGCUGACCCAUGGGGGUACCAGCCCUAUAGUUAGCCCCGCAGCUUUCGUCGAGUCAAGUGUGUUCCAGAGGUAGGUUGUGCUGUACGCGCGGGCGAUGCUUCUCGCUGCGAAUAGGACAAAAGGAGUGUAAGACCACGUGGUGACAUGUUUAUCUGUGUGUCCUUGUGUUUGACGGUCGCAUACAUACACAUGCCAGACAGCAAGCCGAAAACCAUACAUUUCCAGAACCAUUCUCCUCUACAAGGUUAGGUGUCACAGAUAUGCAGCCGGAGCGAUCUGUUCCCUGCCUGCUUCAUAAAUUGCUUGCCCGAUCAUGUCAUGAAAAAUAGCCUUUACCUAUCAGCUGAUUUUUACUUCAUUCCCACUGGCGUAUUUGUCAUUAAGUUUUUGCGUACGUGAGAAGUAAUUUUUUGUGUAGAUAGCUUUUAAUUUUCUCUAUCUCGGUUGCUACUCAUGUUCUAGUUAUCUUCGUCUUUUCUUUACUGUCUAAGUUACUAUUGUAUUGCUGCCAUGUGCGGACACAUUGUUGCUAGUUGUUCAGUUGCGGCAGUACCACUGUAGA